UACAGAGGGUGCAAGCGUUAAUCGGAAUUACUGGGCGUAAAGCGUGCGUAGACGGUUAUGUAAGUCAGGUGUGAAAGUCCCGGGCUCAACCUGGGAAUGGCAUUUGAGACUGCAUAGCUAGGGUGCGGAAGAGGGAAGCGGAAUUUCCGGUGUAGCGGUGAAAUGCGUAGAUAUCGGAAGGAACAUCAGUGGCGAAAGCGGCUUCCUGGUCCAGCACCGACGUUCAGGCACGAAAGCGUGGGGAGCAAACAGG
RNAcentral lists this ribosomal RNA (253 nucleotides) under uncultured bacterium. RNAcentral's name for it is "partial 16S ribosomal RNA". It matches the Rfam family "Bacterial small subunit ribosomal RNA", at positions 524 to 776 of the family's 1533-position model. The record is from RNAcentral.